Molecule: ribosomal RNA, 1428 nt
Filed under: uncultured organism
Description: SSU rRNA
Rfam family: Bacterial small subunit ribosomal RNA
Source: RNAcentral
GCCUAAUACAUGCAAGUCGAGGGGUAGAGAGAGCUUGCUUUCUUGAGACCGGCGCACGGGUGCGUAACGCGUAUGCAACCUACCUUUAUCUGGGGGAUAGCCCGGAGAAAUCCGGAUUAAUACCGCAUAAAAUCACAGAAUAGCAUUAUUUAAUGAUCAAACAUUUAUGGGAUGAAGAUGGGCAUGCGUGUCAUUAGCUAGUUGGCGGGGUAACGGCCCACCAAGGCGACGAUGACUAGGGGAUCUGAGAGGAUGGCCCCCCACACUGGUACUGAGACACGGACCAGACUCCUACGGGAGGCAGCAGUAAGGAAUAUUGGUCAAUGGAGGCAACUCUGAACCAGCCAUGCCGCGUGCAGGAAGACUGCCCUAUGGGUUGUAAACUGCUUUUAUCCGGGAAUAAACCUUUCUACGUGUAGGAAGCUGAAUGUACCGGAAGAAUAAGGAUCGGCUAACUCCGUGCCAGCAGCCGCGGUAAUACGGAGGAUCCAAGCGUUAUCCGGAUUUAUUGGGUUUAAAGGGUGCGUAGGCGGCCUGUUAAGUCAGGGGUGAAAGACGGUAGCUCAACUAUCGCAGUGCCCUUGAUACUGAUGGGCUUGAAUGGACUAGAGGUAGGCGGAAUGAGACAAGUAGCGGUGAAAUGCAUAGAUAUGUCUCAGAACACCGAUUGCGAAGGCAGCUUACUAUGGUCUUAUUGACGCUGAGGCACGAAAGCGUGGGGAUCAAACAGGAUUAGAUACCCUGGUAGUCCACGCCCUAAACGAUGAACACUCGCUGUUGGCGAUACACAGUCAGCGGCUAAGCGAAAGCGUUAAGUGUUCCACCUGGGGAGUACGCCCGCAAGGGUGAAACUCAAAGGAAUUGACGGGGGCCCGCACAAGCGGAGGAGCAUGUGGUUUAAUUCGAUGAUACGCGAGGAACCUUACCCGGGCUUGAAAGUUAGUGAAUGAUCUAGAGAUAGAUCAGUGAGCAAUCACACGAAACUAGGUGCUGCAUGGCUGUCGUCAGCUCGUGCCGUGAGGUGUUGGGUUAAGUCCCGCAACGAGCGCAACCCCUAUGUUUAGUUGCCAGCAUGUAAUGAUGGGGACUCUAAACAGACUGCCUGUGCAAACAGAGAGGAAGGAGGGGACGACGUCAAGUCAUCAUGGCCCUUACGUCCGGGGCUACACACGUGCUACAAUGGAUGGUACAGAGGGCAGCUAGCUGGCAACAGUAUGCGAAUCUCACAAAGCCAUUCACAGUUCGGAUUGGGGCCUGCAACUCGACCCCAUGAAGUUGGAUUCGCUAGUAAUCGCGUAUCAGCAAUGACGCGGUGAAUACGUUCCCGGGCCUUGUACACACCGCCCGUCAAGCCAUGGAAGUUGGGGGUACCUAAAGUAUGUAACCGCAAGGAGCGUCCUAGGGUAAAACCGAUAACUGGGGCUAAGU